AUUCAACUGAUGAGUCCCAAAUAGGACGAAGUGGCGCUCUUCUUGGAU
Non-coding RNA from Schistosoma rodhaini, 48 nucleotides. The record is from Rfam. NCBI's taxonomy places the organism in Eukaryota, Metazoa, Platyhelminthes, Trematoda, Strigeidida, Schistosomatidae.